Molecule: ribosomal RNA, 1112 nt
Filed under: Guptibacillus hwajinpoensis
Lineage: Bacteria; Bacillati; Bacillota; Bacilli; Caryophanales; Guptibacillaceae
Description: bacterial SSU rRNA
Rfam family: Bacterial small subunit ribosomal RNA
Source: RNAcentral
GAGGCAGCAGUAGGAUCUCGCAUGGACGAAGUCUGACGAGCAUCGCCGCUGAGUGACGAUGUCUUCGGGUCGUAAAGCUCUGUUGUAGGGAGACAAGUACCGUUCGAAUAGGGCGGUACGUGACGGUACCUAACCAGAAAGCCACGGCUAACUACGUGCCAGCAGCCGCGGUAAUACGUAGGUGGCUAGCGUUGUCUGGAAUUAUUGGGCGUAAAGCGCGCGCAGGCGGUCUUUUAAGUCUGAUGUGAAAGCCCACGGCUCAACCGUGGAGGGUCAUUGGAAACUGGAGGACUUGAGUGCAGAAGAGGAGAGUGGAAUUCCACGUGUAGCGGUGAAAUGCGUAGAUAUGUGGAGGAACACCAGUGGCGUGGCGGCUCUCUGGUCUGUAACUGACGCUGAGGCGCGACAGCGUGGGGAGCAAACAGGAUUAGAUACCCUGGUAGUCCACGCCGUAAACGAUGAGUGCUAGGUGUUGGGGGGUUCCACCCUCAGUGCUGAAGUUAACACAUUAAGCACUCCGCCUGGGGAGUACGACCGCAAGGUUGAAACUCAAAGGAAUUGACGGGGGCCCGCACAAGCAGUGGAGCAUGUGGUUUAAUUCGAAGCAACGCGAAGAACCUUACCAGGUCUUGACAUCCUCUGACAAUCCUGGAGACAGGACGUUCCCCUUCGGGGGACAGAGUGACAGGUGGUGCAUGGUUGUCGUCAGCUCGUGUCGUGAGAUGUUGGGUUAAGUCCCGCAACGAGCGCAACCCUUGAUCUUAGUUGCCAGCAUUCAGUUGGGCACUCUAAGGUGACUGCCGGUGACAAACCGGAGGAAGGUGGGGAUGACGUCAAAUCAUCAUGCCCCUUAUGACCUGGGCUACACACGUGCUACAAUGGACGGUACAAAGGGCAGCAACACCGCGAGGUGAAGCGAAUCCCAUAAAGCCGUUCUCAGUUCGGAUUGCAGGCUGCAACUCGCCUGCAUGAAGCCGGAAUUGCUAGUAAUCGCGGAUCAGCAUGCCGCGGUGAAUACGUUCCCGGGCCUUGUACACACCGCCCGUCACACCACGAGAGUUUGUAACACCCGAAGUCGGUGGGGUAACCUUUAUGGAGCCAGCCGCUAGUAA